RNAcentral lists this ribosomal RNA (431 nucleotides) under uncultured bacterium. RNAcentral's name for it is "bacterial SSU rRNA". It matches the Rfam family "Bacterial small subunit ribosomal RNA", at positions 29 to 506 of the family's 1533-position model. The record is from RNAcentral.
AACGAACGCUGGCGGCAGGCCUAAUACAUGCAAGUCGAACGCACCGCAAGGUGAGUGGCAGACGGGUGAGUAACGCGUGGGAACCUUCCUAGUAGUACGGAAUAACUCCGGGAAACCGGUGCUAAUACCGUAUAAGCCCUCCGGGGGAAAGAUUUAUCGCUACUAGAUGGGCCCGCGUCGGAUUAGCUUGUUGGUGAGGUAAUGGCUCACCAAGGCCUCGAUCCGUAGCUGGUCUGAGGGGAUGANCAGCCACACUGGGACUGAGACACGGCCCAGACUCCUACGGGAGGCAGCAGUAGGGAAUAUUGGACAAUGGGCGAAAGCCUGAUCCAGCCAUGCCGCGUGAGUGAAGAAGGCCUUAGGGUUGUAAAGCUUCUUUUGGCGGGGAAGAUAAUGACGGUACCCGCAGAAUAAGCUCCGGCUAACUUCGU